Molecule: transfer RNA, 53 nt
Filed under: Rotaria rotatoria
Lineage: Eukaryota; Metazoa; Rotifera; Eurotatoria; Philodinida; Philodinidae
Description: tRNA-Val
Source: RNAcentral
GAUUUAAUAUUUUGUUUUUGAAGCUUGUUACUUUGUUUAUUCUAAGUAAGUCU